AGUGAACGCUGGCGGUAGGCCUAACACAUGCAAGUCGAACGGCAGCACAGUAAGAGCUUGCUCUUACGGGUGGCGAGUGGCGGACGGGUGAGGAAUACAUCGGAAUCUACUUUUUCGUGGGGGAUAACGUAGGGAAACUUACGCUAAUACCGCAUACGACCUACGGGUGAAAGCAGGGGAUCUUCGGACCUUGCGCGAUUGAAUGAGCCGAUGUCGGAUUAGCUAGUUGGCGGGGCAAAGGCCCACCAAGGCGACGAUCCGUAGCUGGUCUGAGAGGAUGAUCAGCCACACUGGAACUGAGACACGGUCCAGACUCCUACGGGAGGCAGCAGUGGGGAAUAUUGGACAAUGGGCGCAAGCCUGUUCCAGCCAUACCGCGUGGGUGAAGAAGGCCUUCGGGUUGUAAAGCCCUUUUGUUGGGAAAGAAAAGCAGCAGGUUAAUACCCCGCUGUUCUGACGGUACCCAAAGAAUAAGCACCGGCUAACUUCGUG
Molecule: ribosomal RNA, 492 nt
Filed under: uncultured bacterium
Lineage: Bacteria
Description: partial 16S ribosomal RNA
Rfam family: Bacterial small subunit ribosomal RNA
Source: RNAcentral